RNAcentral lists this long non-coding RNA (1282 nucleotides) under Equus caballus (horse). RNAcentral's name for it is "lncRNA (ENSECAG00000046085.1)". Lineage: Eukaryota; Metazoa; Chordata; Mammalia; Perissodactyla; Equidae. The record is from RNAcentral.
GAGUUCCCCGGGAAGGAGACUGAUUCUGAGAUCAGCGCACAGGGCUGUGAUUGGGAGGGGCAGUUGGGAUCAGGAUUGGGGAGCAGGAUUGGGCAGAAGGAGAAGCUGAGCAGAGAUGCACGAAGGCCUGACAAAGGGCUCCGCCAGCCCGACAUGCGGCUCUGGAGACAGAUGAGCCAUCAGAAUGGGCUCAGAUCAGACCUUUAUACCCGGUGCAGAGCAGCCCCUGGAUGAGGCUGCCCCUGGAAGGAGGUGUGGCCUUGGACAGGUCGUUUUCUUCUGCUGAGGCAGUCCUCAAAGAGGAUCUCUCAGGAGCCUGUGGACCCUGAGAAGAUGAAGAAGCCCUGUGUUGCACCUAUUUUGCUGAUAAGAUGAGUAAACCAAGGCUCAGAGAGGAGAAGAAAUUUGCUCAAAACCAUGCUGUACUGAGCUGGGAUGGGAAUCUGGCCCCAAAGCCCUCUCUGGACUCUGCCUUCUGUCGGGUUCCCUGAGCCACACCUGGUGUGGUCACAAUUGCAAAGAGGCCCGGGAGGGUCCUGGAGGUUCCCAGGACUGAAGCUGUCCCCUUUCAGCCUGGGCGCCCCUGUGUGGACUUGAUGGGGACCUCUUGUCUGACGGAGCCCGUGUGGUUCUCGUGCAAUGAUGGGAACCAGGGGCUGCGGAGGGAAGAGCAAAGGAGCACGCUGGUGUCCCUCGGACCCAAGUUCAGGCUCUGUCACUUCACGUGACUUCAAACAAGUGGCUCUACCUUUCUGAGGCUGUUUUCCCAGCUGUACAAUGGGCUCAUAACACCGACCUAUCUCUCAGGGUUACCAAGAGGGGAAGUAGAUGAAGGUACGUAAGGGCCCAUCCCACUCACCCCUGGCUCACUGUUGGUGCUCGGAAGCACUGGAGAACAGACUCCCUAGGCUCACCAGCUCUGCCUCUCACCAGCCAAGGACCCAUGGAGGAAUGCAUCUCCCAAGGCCGCAUUUCCACAUCUAUAAAAUGGGUUUGGGACUGUGCUUUCUUUGUUUGGCCUACAUCCCCUCUGUGACUCUACAUCGACAAAACUUAAACCUGGAAAACAGGCGUCUGAGAUUAGGCACAAAAUGAAAUCCAGGCUUGGCGGUGUGGCUCUGCCUGAGGUCUGCUUGCAAGCUGGUGUCCCGGGUUCUGCUGAAGGACCACGGCCCCUCCGCCCUCCCCGUUCUGAGUCAGCCCACGAGAUUCCCUGCUCCUUCAUCUUUCUCCUCGUGGCGGCUCUUAGAAAGGUUGCAGGGAGUGCACCACGCCGACCCGU